ACACGUGAGCAACCUGCCCUGAACUCUGGGAUAAGCGCUGGAAACGGCGUCUAAUACUGGAUAUGAGCUGCGGAGGCAUCUUCGUGGUUGGAAAGAUUUUUCGGUUUGGGAUGGGCUCGCGGCCUAUCAGCUUGUUGGUGAGGUAAUGGCUCACCAAGGCGUCGACGGGUAGCCGGCCUGAGAGGGUGACCGGCCACACUGGGACUGAGACACGGCCCAGACUCCUACGGGAGGCAGCAGUGGGGAAUAUUGCACAAUGGGCGGAAGCCUGAUGCAGCAACGCCGCGUGAGGGAUGACGGCCUUCGGGUUGUAAACCUCUUUUAGCAGGGAAGAAGCGAAAGUGACGGUACCUGCAGAAAAAGCGCCGGCUAACUACGUGCCAGCAGCCGCGGUAAUACGUAGGGCGCAAGCGUUAUCCGGAAUUAUUGGGCGUAAAGAGCUCGUAGGCGGUUUGUCGCGUCUGCUGUGAAAACCCGAGGCUCAACCUCGGGCCUGCGGUGGGUACGGGCAGACUAGAGUGCGGUAGGGGAGAUUGGAAUUCCUGGUGUAGCGGUGGAAUGCGCAGAUAUCAGGAGGAACACCGAUGGCGAAGGCAGAUCUCUGGGCCGUAACUGACGCUGAGGAGCGAAAGGGUGGGGAGCAAACAGGCUUAGAUACCCUGGUAGUCCACCCCGUAAACGUUGGGAACUAGUUGUGGGGUCCAUUCCACGGAUUCCGUGACGCAGCUAACGCAUUAAGUUCCCCGCCUGGGGAGUACGGCCGCAAGGCUAAAACUCAAAGGAAUUGACGGGGACCCGCACAAGCGGCGGAGCAUGCGGAUUAAUUCGAUGCAACGCGAAGAACCUUACCAAGGCUUGACAUACACGAGAACGCUGCAGAAAUGUAGAACUCUUUGGACACUCGUGAACAGGUGGUGCAUGGUUGUCGUCAGCUCGUGUCGUGAGAUGUUGGGUUAAGUCCCGCAACGAGCGCAACCCUCGUUCU
RNAcentral lists this ribosomal RNA (985 nucleotides) under bacterium. RNAcentral describes it as "bacterial SSU rRNA". It matches the Rfam family "Bacterial small subunit ribosomal RNA", at positions 113 to 1111 of the family's 1533-position model. The record is from RNAcentral.